AACCACGUUUUUGACUAAUGUUGAAGCAAAAGAAUGAUUUGUUUAGAAAGUCACUAAAUUUAUUAUAAAAAGACAUCUUAAAUUCCACAAACAUUCAUUAUAGAAAGUCAUUUACCCUAACCAAACCUAACUAAUAAUUAGAAAAGCAAACCUAGACUAAACCAAGAGUAAACCAAAAGCCUAAGCCUAAUCCUCUUUGCCGUCAAUGCUUCCUAUCCACUGUUAGUCUCAGCAUGCCUCCUCCACCUUCAAGCUCAACUGGCCUUUUCCGCCAUCAAUCUUGCCACACCGGAUCUUCUUCUUAGGCGGCUGGCCACACCAGAGAAAUUGUCGUUGUCGAUUGAGGAGAAGCUGUCAAUCUUUUCGCACUGAAGCUUCUUCUCACAGUCACCACACCGUAGAAGCUGUCCACUGUCGUCGUCGUUGUCCGCGUCGAAGCUCGUGAGAGAUUGUGACUGCCGUCGUCGUUGUUGCCAUCUUAGUUGUUGUGGUUGUUGUCUGUGAAAACAAAAGAAGAAAAGAAGAUUAUCAGUGAGAGAUCGAGAGAUUGAGAGAAGUUGAGUAAAUAAAGGAAAAGAAAUAAAAGUAAAAUGUUCUUGUCCUUUAGAUCAGAUAUCAAUGGUUGAGGUUAGAAACUGGUUAUCCUCGCCACUAUUUUUCAACCAAUGAGAGAUAUGAUAGGUAUAAUGAGAAGGAAGAGAUAUGGUCCACUGGAUUGAGCUUAAUCAAUGGACACAAAUUAAUCCUUGUAUAAAUGGAUCAGCCA
RNAcentral lists this long non-coding RNA (766 nucleotides) under Brassica napus (rape). RNAcentral describes it as "long non-coding RNA (BNAP_LNC009525)". Lineage: Eukaryota; Viridiplantae; Streptophyta; Magnoliopsida; Brassicales; Brassicaceae. The record is from RNAcentral.